AUUCUUUUCAGCAUACCAUUAGGAACCAAAAUAAACGAAAAUUACAAAAUUAAAAAACUUGCUUACCUCAAAUCUACACUCUCUCUUUAAUCCAAGUUGCUGCAGGUGAAAUGAUGGAAAACAAGCUGCAGCCCCCUUAAAAAGGGGUCUCCAUGCAGCCAAACAUGAGGUGGCAUUCCACUAACUCCAAUGUCCAUAUUUUGCACUUUAGUCCUUCAAGUUAUCAAAAAUAAAACCCAUAAUUGCCCAUUAGUCCUUUAGGUUUUCAUAACCCUAAUCAGCCCCUAAGAACCUAAUAAGCAUGCUUGAAGUUAAGUACUAAGAUAAUCAUGAUUGCCUAUUUAAUUCAUUAGUACUAGGUGUUACAUAUAGAACCUAGGAUAGCGUCUCCAUAAUUAGAAACAAAAUGAACAAAGAAUAAAAUGAUAUAGAACAUAUGAUGGUUUCCCAAGGAUGGUGUCUUACUGAUGAGAAAUGAAAGGAAUAAAUGAUGCAAAGGCAAAGAAAGAAAGAAUACUCUAAAAUAGAACCUAAGAUGUUGUCCCAAUGCUGAGAAACCAAUCUAACAAAUGAUUAAGCAUAGACAAAGUUUAUAUAGAACCUAGGAUGGCAUCCCAAAGAUGAGAAACAAAAUGAACAAAGAAUAAACUAACAUGGAAGCUAGGAUUCCAAUUGAUGAGAAACAUAACUUACAAUUGAUUAAGCUUAGAUAGAACCUAUGAUAGUGUUCCAACGGUGAGAAACAAAAUGAAUAAAGAAAUGAUUAAGGUUAGAACAUAGGAUAACAUCCUAAGGAUGAGAAACCAAUGGAAUAAAACAUAAAUAGAGACAAAACCAAGGAUGUUGUCCCAAUGAUGAGAAAACAGAAGGAACAAAGAGUAAACCUUGGAUAGUGUCCCAAUGAUGAGAAGUCACAGGAACAAACGAUAAAGUUUAGAUAAAACCUAGGAUACACUCACAACGAUGAGAAACGAAAUAAACAUAGAUUAAGAUGAGAUAGAACCUAUGAUGGUGUCCCAAUGAUGAGAAGUCACAAGAACAAUCGAUAAAGUUUAGAUAAAACCUAGGAUAGACUCACAACGAUGAGAAACAAAAGAAACACAAAUUAAGAUGAGAUAGAAACUAUGAUGGUGUCCCAAUGAUGAAAAAGAAAAGUAACAAAGAAGAAACAUAGAAAGAACAUUAGAUCGUUUCCCAAUGAUAAGAAACCAAAUGAACAAAGAAUUAAUUUAGAUAGAACUUAGGAUUGUGUCCACAUGACGAGAAACCAAAGGAUCAAAGAAGAAACUUAUAUUGAACCUAGGAUUGUAUCCACAUGAUUAGAAACCAAAGGAACAAACGAUUAAGCUCAGAUAGAAUCUAGGAUGGUGUUCCAACGAUUAGAAAAAAAGGAACAAAAAAUAAAUUGAGAUAGAACUAAGGUUGAAUUUAGGAUGGUGUCCAAAUGAUAAGAAACCGAAGGAACUAUGAAGAAACGUAGAUAGAGCCCGCAUAUGGUGUCCCAAUCAUGAGAAAACUAAUGAACGAAUUAUUAAACUUAUAUAGAACAUAGGAUGUUGACCCAAUGAAGAGAAAUCAAAUCAACAAAGAAUAAAUUGAGAUAGAACCUACGUUGGUGUCCAAAAGAUGAGAAACCAAAGGCAUAAAGAAAAAAUUUAGAUAGAAACCUAGGAUAGUGUCCUAAUGAUAAGAAACCAAACGAACAAACAAUUAACCUUAGAUAGAACAUAGGAUGACAUACCAAUGAUGAGAAACCAAACGAACAAACAAUAAAAUGAGAUAGAACCUAGGAUGGUGUCCUAAUGAUGAGGAACAAAUGAUUAAGUAUAGAUAGAUGCUAGGAUAGUGUUUCAAUGAUGAGAAAUCAAAGGAAUAGAGAAUAAACUAAGUUAGAACCUAGGAUGGUGUCCAAUUGAUGACAGACCAAAUAACCAAAGAAUAAAUUGAUAUAGAACCUAGGACAAAUAAUUGAACAAAUAAUUUAGUUUAGAAAGAACCUAGAAUGGUGUACCUAUGAUGAGAAAGCAAUUGAACAAAGAAUAAAUUGAGAUAGAACGUAGGAUGGUCUCCAAAGGAUGGGAAACCAAAGCAACAAAGACGACAGUUAGAUUGAACUUAGGUUUGCAUCCCAAUGAUGAUGAGAAAUCGAAGGAACCAAAGAAUAAACUAAGAUCAAACCUAUGAUGGUGCCUCAAGGAUGAGAAACAAAAGUAACCAAGAAGAAACUCAAAUAGAAUAGGAUGGUGUCCGAAUGAUGAAAAACCGAAAAAAAAACAAAGAAUAAAUUAAGAUUGAACCUAGGAUAGCGCCCCAAUGAUGAGAAACCAAAUGAAGAAAGAAUAAACUGAGAUAUAACCAAGGAUAUAGUCUCCCAAUGACAAGAAACCAAAGGAACAAACAAUUAAGUUUACACAAAACCAAGGAUGGUGUCCUAAUGAUGAGAAACUAAAUGAACAAAGAUAACCUAGGAUGGUGUCCAACAGAUGAGAAACUAAAGGAACAAAGAAGAAACUUAGACUAGACUUAGGAUGGUGUCCCAAUGAUGACAAAUCAAAGAAACAAAGAAGAAACUUAGAUUGAACCUACGGAUGUGUCCCAACCAUUAGAAACCAAAGGAAAAAACGAUUAAACUUAGAUAGAACCUAGGAUGGUGUCCCAAUAAUAAGAAACUAAAGGAACAAAUUAUUAAGAUUCGAUAGAACCUAGGAUGACAUCCCAAAUAAUGAGAAACAAAAUAAACUAAGAAUAAAAAGAGAUAGAAGCUUGACCCCCAAUGAUGAGAAACCAUAUGAACAAAGAACAAACUAAUAUAGAACAUAGGAUGUUGUCCCAAUGAUCAGAAACCAAACAAACAAUUUAUUAAGCUUAGAUAGAAUUUAGGAUGAUCUCCCAAUCAUAAGAAACUAAAUGAAACAAAGAAUAUAUACUAAGAUAGAACCUAGGAAGGUGACCCAAUAAUAAGAAACAAAAAGAACAAAGAAUAAACUGAGAUAGAAUGGUGUCCCAAUUAUAGAAACCAAAUGAAUAAAGAAGAAACUUAGAUAGAACCUAGGAUCGGGUCCUAAUGAUGAGAGACCAAACAAACAAAUGAUUAAGCUUAUAUAGAACCUAAGAAUUCAACCCAAUGAUGAGAAACCAAUUGAAUAAUUGAUUAACUUUAUAUAGAACCUAGGAAUUCAACCCAAUAAUGAGGAAACCAAAGAAACAAAUAAGAAAAUUAGAACCUAGGAUUGCAUUCCAAUAAUGAGAAGAAACUAGAUGAACAAAGAAUAAAAUGAGAUAGAAACUUGACGAUGUCCCAAUGAUGAGAAACAAAAUGAACAAAGAAUGAGCUCAAACAGAACCUAAGAUAGUGUCACAUUGAAGCCAAAGCAAACGAAGAAACGAUUAAGGUUAGAUACAACAUAGGAUGGUGUCCUAAGAAUGAAAACCAAAGGAAUAAAGAAUAAACUGAGAUAGAACCUAUGAUGGUGUCCCAAUGACGAGAAACCAAAGUAACAAACGAUUAAGUGUAGAUAGAACCUAUGAUGGGCUCUCAAUAAUGGGAAACCAAAGGAAUCGAUAAACUAAGAUAGAACUUAGCAUGGUGUCCCUAUGACAACAAUGCAAAAGAACAAAGAAUAAAAUUGAAAUAGAACCUAGGAUGCACCCCCAUGAUGAGAAACAAAAGGAACAAAGAAAAAACGUAGAACUUAGGAUGGUGUCCUAGUGAUGAGAAACCAAAGGAACAAACAAUUAAGCUUAAACAAAACGUAGGAUGGUCUCCCAUUGAUGAGAUACCGAAGAAACAAACAAUUAAGCUUAGAUAGAACCUAGGAUAGAAUCCUUUCGAGAAAAAACCAAAGGAAGAAACUUAAAUUCAACCUAGGAUGGAGUUCGAUUGAUGAGAAAUGAAAGGAAAAACGAUUAAGCUUCGAUAAAAUUUAGGAUGGCAUCCUAAUGAUGCGAAAGCGAACAAACAAAGAAUAAAAUAAGAUAGAACCCAGGAUGGUGUCACAUUGAUGCGAAACCAAAGGAACAAAGAAGCAACCGAGAUAGAACCUUGGGAUGUGUCCCAAUGAUAAGAAACUUUGAACUAACGAUGAAGCCUACAUAGAAUGUAGGAUGGCAUCCCAACAAUGAGAAAACAAAUGACCAAAGAAUAAAUUGAGAUGGAACUUUGGAUGGUGUCACAUUGAUGCGAAACCAACGGAAGAAACUAUUAGUGUUAGAUAGAACGUAGUGUCCCUAUAAUAAGAAACCAAAGGAACAAACGAUUAAGCUUAGCUAUAACUUAUGAUGGCAUCCCAAUGAUGAGAAACCAAAGGAUCAGACAAUUAAGUUUAGGUAGAACUUGGGAUGGUGUCCCACAUACGAGAAACCAAAUUAGCAAAGAAUAAAUGGAAAUGAACCUAGGAUGGUGUCCCAAUGAUGAGAAACCAAAGGAACAAACAAUUGAGUUUAGAUUGAACCCAGGAUGACGUCCUAAUGAUGAAAAACCAAAUUAACAAGGAAUAAACUAAGAUAGAAUCUAGGAUUGUGUCCCAAUAAUGAGAAACCAAAUGAACAAAGAAUAAAUUGAGAUAGAACCUAGGGAUAUGUCCCAAUGAUAAGAAACCAAUGCAAUAAACGAUUAAGCUUAGAUAGAACCUAUUCCUACUUGAGAGGAAAUAACCAUAACUGCUUGAACAUUGCAAUAAUAGCUUCACCUUUCAAAAAAAUAUAUUCAAUAGAAAUUGAAGGAUGAACAACAACACUAAAAGACUAUAUAAGCCUUCAACAACAAAAACAUUCCACAAAUCAAAUUCUAAACACCAUCUCCUCUCAAGUUGAUAGGAUAGAAGACAAACUAGAGACACCUCAAAUUGUCAGUCAAAUAGUCACACCACAGUUUCUAGAUUGAAACUUAGACAAAAAUCGUUCGAUUUUCAAACUCGUAGAGGUAGGGAAUAAGAUAGUUAAACUUUCAAAUAAUGAUGACUUAAUCAAAUGUUUAACAAAAAGAAUUGAACAAUUAGAUUUGGUGCAAAAACCUUCAACUUAAAAUACAAAGUCCUAGUUAAACAAAGAAUAAACUGAUAUUGUAAUACCUAGCACUAAUGAAUUAAAUAAGCCCUAUUGAUUUUUGUUUUUCCUUGUCCAUACUUUCACAAUUGAUAAACUAUUCACCCCCACCAAUUUAUAUAUCAGAUAUCAAUGCUCUACAAGAUACACGAUGAAUAUAAUAAUGACUAUUUUGGGACAUCACCCAAGGGCAAGUCAUACCCCGUGUCUUUUGGGACUCAUACGCAAGGGCAGGACCAACCCCAUGUCUUUAGGGACUAAAACCUAGGGGCAGGACCAACCCCAUAGACCCACAUUUGAGUGUCUUCCUCAAGGGCUUUAGGGACUUUCACCCAAGGACCCACGGUCCAACAUAAACAAUAUAUCUAAAGAUAAUGUCUGUAGCAUCGCAUAAAUACUUUCCACCAUUCAAUUCUCUGAAUAUCAUAUGUGAUUAUUCCAUAUCCUUCUGUCAAUGCAACCACACCAUGAACCAUUUCCAUGUCACAUAAACAUGAAUCUUCAUACAAUAUGCCUUCCAAUCUCAAUGUAACAUUUCAACACAAUAAACUGAGAUGCAAUGACACUUUAAAACAUUUUAGGAAAUCAUAGAAAUGACAUGAAAUUUCCAAUAAAUGUUUCAAGAGAAGAAAUCAGAUACACUAUGGGAUAGCAUGAAAUUCCCUACCUUACACGAACUUUCCCUCUAUGAUUGUUCUAAGUAGGCAAUCUUUACCUAAUACAAGGAACUGAAAUGAAACACAUAAUUUAGACUUCCAAAUGAUGAAAAUUUAAACAAUUUACUGUUGCUAUUUUUUUUUAAAAUUCUAAUAUUCUCUAAUCUACAUGCCUACAGGUUUUCAAAUCAAAUUUGAAUUGACUUAAACAAUAUUUACAAUACAUAUUAAUUUUCCGUAAUUAAUUACUAAACACUAAUUGCUUUGAUUUUCUGAAAGCCUAACCUAUUAACAAAUCCCAAGUGUCCAAAUAACCUAAUUAAUCACAUGUUCACUAAUCAAAUUUUCAAUUAAACAAGAUUUAUGCUAAUCUUACCAUUAAUAAAAUACUUAAGCUAAAAUACUUUAAUCCCUAAUUAAUUGUGAUUUUAAUUAAAACAUGUUUAUAGCUCAUUACACUCAUUUUGACAAAUUUUACCAUUAAUUUGUUUCAGCAUACCAUUAGGAACUAAAAUAAACCAAAAUUACUAAAUUAAACAACUUGCUUAAUCUCAAAUCUUCACUUUCUCUCUAAGAUUCUCUCUCUAACGCAAGCUGCUGUAGCUAAAAUGGUGCAAAACGAGCUGCAAGCCCUUAUAUAGCUCUCCAUGGAGCCAAGUAGGAGGUGGCAGCCACCAAUCCACCCAAGUAGGAGGUGGCAUGCCACUUGGCUUCCACAAACUGCAACUUCCCAAUUUUGCACUUUAGUCCUUCAAGUUAUCAAAAAUAAAACCCAUAAUUGCCCAUUAGUCCUCUAGGUUUUCAAAACUAUAAUCAACCCCUAAAAACCUAAUAAGCAUGAUUAAGUCAAUAACUAAUCUCAAUUAACCUUAAUCAAACUUUAAUUCAUAAUUAAACAGGAUUAAUAGUAAAACUAGUUUUAACAUCUAAUUAAGCACAUUUAAAGUUAAGUACUAAGAUAAUCAUUAUUGCCUAUUUAAUUCAUUAGUGCUAGGUAUUACAUUGUUUAUGUGGGACCAUGGGUCCUUGGGUGAAAGUCCCUAGAGCCCUCAAAGAAGACACUCCGAUGUGAGUGUAUGGGGUUGGUCCUGCCCUUGGGUUUUAGUCCCUAAAUAUACGGCAGUCAUUCCCUUAGGUAUGAGUCCAAUAAGACAUGGGGUAUGAUUUACCCUUGGGUGAUAGUCCCAAAAUAAUCAUAUUAUUAUAUUGACCGAGUAUCUUGUGGAGCAUUGAUAUCUGGUGUGUACAUUGCUUGGGGUUAUCAAUUGUGAAAGGAUGGAUGAGGAAAAGCAGAGAUGAAACCAGCAAACGCAUGCAUACAUGUUUGACAUUAUUGCAUAUUUGAUAAGGAUUAUAAAAUGUUUAUCACAAAUGCUAUUAUACAUUUAAUUCAAGGUUUUUAAGGGUAUGUUUAGGAUGGUUAUAAACUUUCCUACUAAAGUUUGAACUCACCCUAUCCCUUCCACCUUUAGAUGCAGGUGAGAAGAUUUAUGCUGGAAAUAAUUCUUGAGCAUUGCUUUUCUGUUGAUUGGAUGUUGUUUGCUCGCAUUGAAAGUGUUUUGAGGCUUUUCCUUUGUAUCAUACAAAGACUCAAUCUUUUUGAAGGAAUGGUGUAAUGUAUAUUUGUCAUGUACACUUGUAGUAUGGGCUACCCAAAGUGAACCAUAUAUAUGUAAAGUAACAUAGUACAAGUUCUUUUUGUGAAAUGGAUCAUAUUUUGUUAACUAAUAGUUAUAUAGUUUAAUACAAGAUGUAUACCUCUUUAUAGCCGGUUUCCAUAUUCCCUUUUUGCACAAAAUCAAGCAGGAACCCAACAUUUAAAUUUUUGUAUCCCCAAAUUUUUUUAAAGCACUUAUGUUGUAUAUCAAUUGUGGUGUCCCAAUGAUAAGAAUCCAAAAAAACAAAUAAUAAAAAUUGAGAUAAAACCUAGGAAGGUGGCCUUAUGACAAGAAACCAAAGGAACAAAGAAUAUAAGCUGAGAUAAAACCUAAGAUGCCAAUGGUGAGAAACCAAAGGAACGAAGAAUAUAUUAAGGUAGAUCCUAGGAAGCUUAUCCGAUGAUGAGAAACCAAAAGAACAAAGAAUAAACUGAGAUAGAACCUAGAAUGUUGUCCCAAUGAUGAGAAACUAUUGGAACAAAGACGAAACUUAGUAUGAACCUAGGAUAGUGUCGCAAAGAUUACAAACCAAAGAAAGAAACGAAUCAUCUUUCAUAGAACCUACAAUGGUGCCCCAUUGAUUAGAAACCAAAGAUAUAAAGAAACAACUGAGAUAGAACCAAGGAUGAUGUACCAAUGAUAAGAAACUAAAGUAAAAAAAUAAGAAACUUAGAACCUAGGAUGGCGUUCCAAUGAUGAGAAACCAAAUGAGCAAAAAGAAUAAACUAAGAGAAAACAUAGGAUGUUGUCCAAAUGAUGAGAAACCAAUGGACAAAAGAAAACUUAGAUUGAGUCUAAGAUGGUGUCCUAAUGAUGAUAAACCACAUGAACAAAUGAUUAAGCUUAAAUAGAAGCUAUGAUGAUGUCUCAAUGAUGAGAAACGAAAUGAAAAAAGUAUAAAAUGGGAAAGAUGGUGUCCCAAUGAUGAGAAUUCAAAGGAACAAACGAUUAAACUUAAAUAGAACCUAGGAUGACUUUCCAAUGAUGAGAAACCAAAUGAAAAAGGAAUAAACUAAGAUAGCAAAAUGUUGUCAAAGUGACGAGAAACCAAAGGAACAAACGAUUUAAGUCUAGAAAUAACCGAGCUUGGUGUCCAAAUGAAGAGAAACGAAAUGAAUAAGGAAUAAACCGAGAAAGAAAGUAGGAUGGUCUCCCAAUGAUGAGAAUCCAAAGGAACGAAGAUGAAACUUAGGUUGAACCUAGGAUUGUGUUGCAAAGAUGAGAAACCAAAAGAAGAAACAAAUCAGCUUUGAUAGAACCUACGUUGGUGUCCCAUUAAAUCGGCGAUAAAAACUAGCCAAACCAUGAAAACUUCUUUCCUCAGUGAUUCACUUAGGUGUGGGCCAUUCCUUGAUAGCCUUCACAUUUUCGUCAUCCACCUCAAUUCCUUUCGCACUAACAACAUAACCAAGAAAAACAACUUUGUCCAUGCAAAAGGAACAUUUCUUUAAAUUGGCAUAUAAUUUUUCUUUUCUCAAAACAACAAGCACACAAUGCAAAUUUUUUAUAUGGCCAUCUAAGUUAUUACUGUACAACAAACUAUCAUCAAAAUAGACCACAACAAAUCUGCCUAUAAACGCACGCAAUACAUGGUUCAUUAACCUCAUGAAUGUACUUGGUGGCAUUAGUUGGACCAAAAGGCAUUACCAACCACUCAUAUAAUCCAUAUUUAGUUUUAAAGGCAGUUUUCCAUUCAUCACCCUCUUUCAUCCUAAUUUGAUGAUACCCACUUAAAUCAAUUUUUGUGAAAACACAUGAUCCAUGCAAUUCAUGCAACAUGUCAUCUAGCCUAGGGAUUGGAUGUCUAUACUUUACUGUAAUGUUGUUGAUCGCCCUGCAAUCAACACACAUCCUCCAAGUUCCAUCCUUCUUAGGCACAAGCAGCAUCGGCACCGCGCAUGGACUCAUGCUCUCUCUCACAUGUCCUUUGGUUAGCAACUCCUCAACUUGCCUUAGAAGUUCCUUUGUCUCCUCCAGAUUACUCAUAUAGGCUGGUCGGUUAGGAAUUGUUGCACCUGGCACAAAAUCAAUUUGAUGCUCUAUUCCUCUAAUAGGUGGCAAUCCACUAGACACAUUGUUAGGAAACACAUCCUCAUAUUCCGGCAACAAAGAAACAACAAUACUAGGAAAAGAUUUGUAAAGUUCAUUAGUGUUUUAACAUACCUCUUUGUACAAGAGUACAAAUAUAACAUUCUCACUUUUCAAUUUCAUUUGAUCUUCGUACGCUUGUCAUGGAGUCAACAGUACCAAAGUAAUGGUUUUAUUGUCUUUUACAAAAGAAUACCUAUUCUUGAACCCAUCAUGAUUGACCUUUUUGUCAAACUGCUAAGGCCUACCCAAUAAAAUGUAACCCGCAUGCAUUGGAACAAUAUCACAAAGUACUUCAUCCUUGUACCUCCCAAUUGAAAAAGAAACCAGCACUUGCUUAUUUACCUUAACCUCUCCACAAUCAUUCAACCAUUGCAACUUAUACGGUCUAGGGUGUUUCAAGGUAGGUAAAUUCAAUUUUUCAACUAAAGUAGUGCUAGCCACAUUAGUACAGUGCCACCCCCCCCCCCCCCCCCAUCAAUGAUCAUACUACAUCUCUUAUUGUUGAUGUGGCAUCUAGUAUGAAAAAUAUUCUCUCUUUGUUAUUCCAUGUCAUCCUCUUUAACUUGGGCACUUAAAGCACGCCUAGCCAUAGUGACUCACCCUCCACUGGAUACUCCACAUUAUCGUCACAAGCAUCCUCCAGUGAUGGCAUUUGGUCAUCAUCUUCCUCACUUUCAAUUUCCACCUCUCCAUCAACACGUGCGGUCAUGGUCCUCUUAUUUGGGCAUUGUGAAGCUAUAUGACCUACUCCCAAACAACGAAAACACAAUUAAUAUCACAAUUAUGAGUUUGGGGUUCAUUUUUACCUUUGUUGACAUUGGGAGCUUCAUCUCUGCUUUUGGUGGUUCAGUUUUGGACUUGAAAAUAACCCCUUCAUCUUUCCUCCCAUUUGGCCUCCAUGAAGCAGAGGAGCCGGGAUUUUGAAAUGACCGAGUUCCUUUCCUUUUAAGCUGUCAUUCCACCUUUAUUGCCAUGUGCACCAUGUCCUCCAACUCCACAUAGUGUUGUAACUCCACCACGUUGGCAAUGUCCCGAUUCAUUCCAUUCAGAAACCUUGGCAUAGUAGCUUCUUUAUCCUCCUCUACAUUAGCCGGAAUCAUGGCAAUCUCCAUCUCCUUGUGAUAGUCAUCCACGCUCCUAUAGCCUUGAGUAACACUCUGUAAUUUCUGAUACAAGUCCCUAUAGUAGUGACUAGGGACAAACCGCCUCCUCAUGGUGGCUUUCAUUUCAUCCCAUGUCUCAAUAGGCCUCUCAUAGUUUCUUCUUUUGUUCGUUACAAGUUGAUCCCACCAUAUAAUAGCAUCCUCAUGGAGAUUUUUAAUUCAUUCCCUUUCCUAGAAUUUUUUUAGACCAACCAACUUCCUUCAAUUCUUCUAGGGCAACCCUUUCCUAGGGUUUACUUAGCAAACUCCCACUUCCUGUAGUGUAGUAGGGCAUCCCAAUCCAGUAGUUUGUUUAGCGCAACUCCUUUUCUUGCGGUUUUUUAGCACAACCGCUUUUGUUUGGAUUGGGCAUCCCCCUUGGUAGAUUUUGUUUGCGGCAUGCCCUUUCUAUGAUUCUGAUUAGUGAAUCCCCCUUCUUAAUUAUCAUUUACGAUGCUCAUCUUCCUUUAUCUUUUUAAGGCCAUCUCGCUUACUCGAAUUUGCUUAGAGCAUCCCCCUUCCUUCACAUUGUUUAGAGAAUUCCCUUCAUUAAGUUUAUUAAGGGCAUUGUUUAGGGCAUCCCACUUCCUUAAGUUUCUUUAUGGUAUCCCUCGUUCUUCACCCCAUAAUCAAGAUGUCAUCCUAGGUUCUAUCUAAACAUAAUAAUUUGUUCCCAAGAUUGCUCAUCAUUGGAACACCAUUCACAAUUUUAUUCAUUUUCAUUCUUAGUUUUGUUUAGUUUCACAUCAUUGAGAUGUCAUCCUAGGUUUUUUCUAAGCUAAUUAGUUUGUUCUUUUGAUUGCUCAUCCAUUAUUGGACCAUAAUUCUUGGUUCUAUCUCUGUUCAUUCUUCGUUCCUUUAGUUACCCGUUAGGUUACUAUCCUAGUUUUAAUCUAAGUUUAUUUGUUUGUUCCUCUGAUUUCUCAUAACUAGGACGUUAUCCUAGAUUCUAUCUAUAUCAAAUUUGAGUUAUUUUUGUGUCGGAUCGUCUGCAUACCAUCCUAGGUUCUACUUAAGCUUAGUUGGUUGUUUGUUACGUUUCUCAUCAUUGUGAUGUCAUCCUAGUUUCUAUCUAGGUUUGUUCUUAGUUCCUUUGGGUUCCAAACAUUUGGAUGCAAUCCUAGGUUUGGCCUAUGUUCAUUAUUGGUUCCUUUGGUUUCCCAUCAUUGUGAACUAUGUAAGCUUUUCAUAUGUUCCUUUGGUUUCUCAUAAUUAGGACAUCAUCCUAUGAGUUUGUUUAAGGGUAUGCACAAUUCCUUGUACAUGUUCAGGACAUCCUUCUUCAUUGAGUUUUUUUCGGGCAUCCCCUUCCUAAAGUUUGUUGAGGGUAUUACCCUUCAUUGAGUUUAUUUAGGGCAUCCUCUUUCCUCGAGUGUUAUUAGGUUCAUUCCCAUUCCUCUAUUGUUUUAGGACAUUCUUGUUCAUUGGGCUAUCAAACUACCUUGAUUUACUUUUUUAGUCCAUCACCCUUCCUUAAGUUUCUUAGGUCAUCCAUCUUCAUGGAGAUUUUUAGUUCAUUCCCUUUCCUAGAGUUUGUUUAGACCAACCAACUUCCUUCAAUUGCUUUGGGGCAUACCCUUUCCUAGGGAUUAUUUAACAGACUCCCACUUCUUUUAGUGCAACUCCAUUUCUUGAGGUCUUUUAGCACAACCGCUUUUGUUGGGAUUGGGCAUCCUCGUUGGUAGAGUUUGUUUGUGGAAUGCCCUUUCUAUGAGUUUUAUUAGUGAAUCCCCCUUCUCAAUGUUCAUUACGACUUUCUUCUUCCAUUGGCUUUUUAAGGGAAUCCCCCUUACUCGAAUUUGCUUAGAGCAUCCCCCUUCCUUGACUUUGUUUAGAGAUUUUCCUUCAUUAAGCUUAUUAAGGGCAUCCCACUUCCUUAAGUUUGUUUAGGGUAUCCCUUGUCCUUCACCCCAUAAUCAGGAUGUCAUCCUAGGUUCUAUCUAAACAUAAUCAUUUAUUCCCGAGAUUGCUCAUCAUUGGAACACCAUUCAUAGUUUUAUUCAUUUUCAUUCUUAGUUUAUUUAGUUUCACAUCAUUGAGAUGCCAUCCUAGGUUUUUUCUAAGCUAAUUAGUUUGUUCUUUUGAUUGCUCAUCCAUGAUUGGACCAUAAUUCUUGGUUCUAUCUCUAUUCAUUCUUCGUUCCUUUGGUUACCCGUUGGGUUACUAUCCUAGUUUUAAUCUAAGUUUAUUUGUUUGUUUCUUUGAUUUCUCAUAACUAGGACUUCCUAGGUUCUAUCUAUAUCAAAUUUGAGUUAUUUUUGUGUCGGAUCGUCUGCAUACCAUCCUAGGUUCUACCUAAGCUUAGUUGGUUGUUUGUUAUGUUUCUCAUCCUUGUGAUGUCAUCCUAGUUUCUAUCUAGGUUUGUUCUUAGUUCCUUUGGGUUCCCAGCAUUUGGAUGCAAUCCUAGGUUCGACCUAUGUUCCUUGUUUGUUCCUUUGGUUUCGCAUCAUUGUGAACUAUCUAAGCUUAUUCAUAUAUUCCUUUGGUUUCUCAUAAUGAGGACAUCAUCCUAUGAGUUUGUUUAAGGGUAUGCACAAUUCCUUGUGUAUGUUCAGGACAUCCUCCUUCCUUGAGUUUUUUUGGGAUCCCCUUCCUGAAGUUUGUUGAGGGUCUUACCCUUCAUUGAGUUUAUUUAGGGUAUCCUCUUUCCUCGAGUGUUAUUAGGUUAAUUCCCAUUCCUCUAUUGUUUUAGGACAUUCUUGUUCAUUGGGCUCUCAAACUACCUUGAUUUACUUUUUUAGUUCAUCACCCUUCCUUAAGUUUCUUAGGUCAUCCAUCUUCAUGGAGAUUUUUAAUUCAUUCCCUUUCCUAGAGUUUGUUUAGACCAACCAACUUUAUUCAAUUGCUUUGGGGCAUACCCUUUCCUAGGGAUUAUUUAAUCGACUCCCACUUGUUUUAGUAUAGUAGGGCAUCCCCAUCCAGUAGUUUGUUUAGUGCAACUCCAUUUCUUGAAGUCUUUUUGCACAACCGCUUUUGUUGGGAUUGGGCAUCCUCGUUGGUAGAGUUUGUUUGUGGCAUGCCCUUUCUAUGAGUCUUAUUAGUGAAUCCCCCUUCUCAAUGUUCAUUACGACUUUCUUCUUCCAUUGGCUUUUUAAGGGAAUCCCACUUACUUGAAUUUGCUUAGAGCAUCCCCCUUCCUUGACUUUGUUUAGAUAUUUUCCUUCAUUAAGCUUAUUAAGGGCAUCUUUUAGGGCAUCCCCCUUCCUUGACUUUGUUUAGAUAUUUUCCUUCAUUAAGCUUAUUAAGGGCAUCUUUUUGGGCAUCCCACUUCCUUAAGUUUGUUUAGGGUAUCCCUUGUCCUUCACCCCAUAAUUAGGAUGUCGUCCUAGGUUCUAUUUAAACAUAAUCAUUUAUUCCCGAGAUUGCUCAUCAUUGGAACACCAUUCAUAGUUUUAUUCAUUUUCAUUCUUAGUUUGUUUAGUUUCACAUCAUUGAGAUGCCAUCCUAGGUGCUAUCUAAGCUAAUUCGUUUUUUCUUUUGAUUGCUCAUCCAUGAUUGGACCAUAAUUCUUGGUUCUAUCUCUAUUCAUUCUCCGUUCCUUUAGUUACCCGUUGGGUUACUAUCCUAGUUUUAAUCUAAGUUUAUUUGUUUGUUCCUCUGAUUUCUCAUAACUAGGACAUUAUCCUAGGUUCUAUCUAUAUCAAAUUUGAGUUAUUUUUGUGUCGGAUCGUCUACAUACCAUCCUAGGUUCUACCUAAGCUUAGUUGGUUGUUUGUUAUGUUUCUCAUCCUUGUGAUGUCAUCCUAGUUUCUAUCUAGGUUUGUUCUUAGUUCCUUUGGGUUCCCAGCAUUUGGAUGCAAUCCUAGGUUCGACCUAUGUUCCUUGUUUGUUCCUUUGGUUUCGCAUCAUUGUGAACUAUCUAAGCUUAUUCAUAUAUUCCUUUGGUUUCUCAUAAUGAGGACAUCAUCCUAUGAGUUUGUUUAAGGGUAUGCACAAUUCCUUGUGUAUGUUCAGGACAUCCUCCUUCCUUGAGUUUUUUUGGGAUCCCCUUCCUGAUGUUUGUUGAGGGUGUUAACCCUUCAUUGAGUUUAUUUAGGGCAUCCUCUUUCCUCGAGUGUUAUUAGGGUAAUUCCCAUUCCUCUAUUGUUUUAGGGCAUUCUUGUUCAUUGGGCUAUCAAACUACCUUGAUUUACUUUUUUAGUCCAUCACCCUUCCUUAAGUUUCUUAGGUCAUCCAUCUUCAUGGAGAUUUUUAGUUCAUUCCCUUUCCUAGAGUUUGUUUAGACUAACCAACUUCCUUCAAUUGCUUUAGGGCAUACCUUUCCUAGGGAUUAUUUAGUAGACUCCCACUUCCUUUAGUGAAGUAGAGCAUCCCCAUCCAAUAGUUUGUUUAGUGCAACUCCAUUUCUUGAGGUUUUUUAGCACAACCGCUUUUGUUGGGAUUGGGCAUCCCCCUUGGUAUAGUUUGUUUGUGGCAUGCCCUUUCUAUGAGUCUUAUUAGUUAACCCCCCUUCUCAAUGUUCACUACGACAUUCUUCUUCCAUUGGCUUUUUAAGGGAAUCCCGCUUACUCGAAUUUGCUUAGAGCAUCCCCCCUUCCUUGACUUUGUUUAGAGAAUUUCCUUCAUUAAGCUUAUUUAGGGCAUCCCACUUCCUUAAGUUUGUUUAGGGUAUCCCUCGUCCUUCACCCCAUAAUCAGGAUGUCAUCCUAGGUUCUAUCUAAACAUAAUCAUUUUUUUCCAAGAUUGUUCAUCAUUGGAAAGCCAUUCAUGGUUUACUAUCCUAGUUUUAAUCUAAGUUUAUUCCUUUGUUCCUCUUAUUUCUCAUCACUAGGAUGUCAUCAUAGGUUCUAUCUAUAUGCAAUUUGAGUUAAUUUUGUGUCCGAUCAUUUGCAUACCAUCCUAGGUUUUACCUAAGCUUAGUUGGUUGUUUGUUAUGUUUCUCAUCAUUGUGAUGUCAUCUUAGUUUCUAUCUAGGUUUGUUCUUAGUUCCUUUGGUUUCCAAACAUUUGGAUGCAAUCCUACGUUCGGCCUAUGUUCAUUGUUUGUUCCUUUGGUUCACAUCAUUGUGAACUACCUAUGAGUUUGUUUUCUCAUAAUUAGGACACCAUACUAUGAGUUUGUUUAAGGAUAUGCCCUAUUUCUUGAGUAUGUUUAGGACAUCCUCCUUCCUUGAGUUGUUUUCGGGCAUCCCCUUCCUUAAGUUUGUUUAGGGUAUUCCUCUUCGUUGAGUUUCUUUAGGGUAUUCUCUUUCCUUGAGUGUUAUUAGGGUAUUCACAUUCGUCUAUUUUUUUAGGACAUUCCUGUUCAUUGGACUAUUAAACUACUUUAGUCCAUCACCCUUCCUUCAGUUUCUUAGGUCAUCCACCUUCAUGUUAAUUUUUAAUUCAUUCUCUUGCUUAUAGUUUAUUUAGACCUACCAACUUCCUUCAAUUCUUUUAGGGUAUACCCUUUCCUAGGGAUUACUUAGCAGACUCCCACUUCAUUUAGUGUAGUAGGGCAUCCCCAUCCAGUAAUUUGUUUAAUGCAACUCCAUUUAUUGAGGUUUUUUAGCACAACCGUUUUUGUUGGGAUUGGGCAUCCUAGUUUGGUGGAGUUUGUUUUUGGCAUGCCCUUUCUAUGAGUCUUGUUAGUGAAUCCCCCUUCUUAAUGUUCAUUUACGAUGUUCUUCUUCCAUUGGCUUUUUAAGGGCAUCCUGCUUACUCAAAUUUGCUUAGAGCAUCCCCCUUCAUUGACUUUGUGUAGAGAAUUCCCUUCAUUAAGUUUAUUAAGGGCAUUGUUUAGGGCAUCCCACUUCCUUAAGUUUGUUUAGGGUAUCCCUCGUCCUUCACCCCAUAAUCAGGAUGUCAUCCUAGGUUCUAUCUAAACAUAAUUAUUUGUUCCCGAGAUUGCACAUCAUUGGAACGCCAUUCAUAGUUCUAUUCAUUCUCGUUCUUAGUUUGUUUAGUUUCACAUCAUUGAGUUGCCAUCCUAGGUUCUAUCUAAGCUAAUUCGUUUGUUCUUUUUAUUGCUCAUCAUUGGACCAUAAUUCUUGGUUUUAUCUCUGUUCAUUCUUAGUUCCUUUAGUUACCCAUCAUUGGGUUACUAUUCUAAUUUUAAUCUAAGUUUAUUCAUUUGUUCCUCUGAUUUCUCAUCACUAGGACAUCAUCCUAGGUUCUAUCUAUAUCAAAUUUGAGUUAAUUUUGAGUCUGAUCGUCUGCAUACCAUCCUAGGUUCUACCUAAGCUUAGCUGGUUGUUUGUUAUGUUUCUCAUCAUUGUGAUGUCAUCCUAGUUUCUAUCUAGGUUUGUUCUUAGUUCCUUUGGGUUCCAAAUAUUUGGAUGCAAUCCUAGGUUCGGUCUAUGUUCAUUGUUUGUUCCUUUGGUUUCUCAUAAUUGGGACGCCAUCCUAUGAGUUUGUUUAAGGGUAUGCCCUAUUCCUUGAGUAUGUUUAGGACAUUUUCCUUCCUUGAGUUGUUUUCAGACAUCCCUUUCCUUAAGUUUGUUUAGGGUAUUCCCCUUCAUUGAGUUUAUUUUGGGCAUCCUCUUUCCUCAAGUGUUAUUAGGGUAUUCCCAUUCCUCUAUUUUUCUAGGACAUUCCUGUUCAUUGGGCUAUCAAACUACCUUGAUUUACUUUAAUCCAUCACCCUUCCUUCAGUUUCUUAGGUCAUCCAUGUGACACCCUGAUUUUUUUUUUUUUUUUUUUGCAAACUUUACAAUUGAUACUCAAAUACAAUAUAAGUGUUAAAGAUAUAGGGAUACGAAAAUUUAAAUGUUGAGUUCCUGCUUGAUUUUGUGCAAAAAGAGGAUAUGCAAAACCUGUUAUAAAGAGUACAUCUUAUAUUAAACUUUGUAACUAUUAGUUAACAAAAUAUGUUUCAUUUCACAAAAGAAACUUGUAUUACAUUAAUUUACAUAUACCAAAACCCCAUGGUUCACUACAGGUAGCCCAUACUACAAGUGUACCUUACAAAUAUAUAUAUUACAUCAUUGCUACAAAAAAAUUCAGUCUUUAAUACAAAGGCAAAGCCUCAAAACACUUUCAAUGUGAGCAAACAACAUCCAAUUGCAAUAAAGCAAUGCUCAAACAUUAUUUCCUGCAUACAUCUUUUGACUUACAUCUAAAGAUGGAAGGGAUAGGGUGAGUUCACAACUUAGUAGGAAAGUUUAUAACCAUCCUAAGCAUACACUUAAAAACCUUGAAUUAAACAUGUAAUAGCAUGCAUGAUAAACAUUUUAUAACCAUUAAUAAAUAUGCAAUCAUGUCAAACAUGUAUGCAUGUUUGCUGGUUUCAUCUUCGCUUUUCCUCGUCCAUCCUUUCACAACUGAUAAAUUGCUCACCCCCACCAAUCUAUAUAUCAAAUAUCAAUGCUCCACAAGAUACUCGAUCAAUAUAAUAAUGACUAUUCUAGGACAUCACCCAAGGGCAAGUCAUACCCCGUGUCUUUUGGGACUCAUACCCAAGGGCAGGACCAACCCCAUAUACCCACAUUGGAGUGUCUUCCUCGAGGGCUUUAGGGACUUCCACCCAAGGACCCACUGUCCCACAUAAACAAUAUAUCAAAGGAUAAUGCCUAUAGCAUCACAUAAACACUUUCUACUAAAUAAUUCUCUGAAUAUCAUUUGUGAUUAUUCCAUAUCCUUUCUGCAAUGCAUUCAUACCAUGAACCAUUUUCACAAUACAGAACCAUGAAUCUUCAUACCAAUAUACGUUCCAAUCUCAAUGUAACAUUUCAACACAAUAAACCAAGAUGCAAUGACACAUUAAAAUAUUUUAUGAAAUUUUAGAAAUGACAUGAAAUUUCCAAUAAAUGUUUCAAGGAAGGAAAUCAGAUACACCAUGGGAUAGCAUAAAAUUCCCUACCUUACACGGGCUUUCCCUUUAUGAUUCUUCUAUGUAGGCGAUCUUCACCUAUUACAAGGAACUGAAAUGAAACACAUAAUUUAGACUUCCUAACGAUGAAAAUUUAUACAAUUUACUUUUGCUAAUUUUUUAAUUAUAAUAUUCUCUAAUGUAGAUGCCUACAAGUUCUCAUAUCAAAUUUGAAUUAAAUUAAACAAUAUUUACAAUGCAUAUUAAUAUUCCCUAAUUAAUUACCAAACACUAAUUGUUUUUAUUUUCUUAAAACCUAACCUAUUAACAAAUUCCAAGUGCCUAAAUAACCUAAUUAAUCACACGUUUACUAUUCUAUUUUUCAAUUAAACCAAAUUAAACAAAUAUUUAUGCUAAUCUUACCAUUAAUAAAAUACUUAAGCUAAAAUACUUUAAUCCAUGAUUAAUUGUGAUUUUUAACUAAAACAUGUUUAUAGUAACAAGGAUAAAAACAAUGAUAGUGACGGUAAUUGUGACGGUAACGGUUACGUUGACGAUAACGGUAAUUAUGACGGUGACAGUAACUCUAACGGUAACGGUGAUAGUGACAGUGACGGUGGCGAGAACG
This 18946-nucleotide long non-coding RNA is filed under the name Vitis vinifera (wine grape). RNAcentral describes it as "long non-coding RNA (VVIN_LNC007569)". The record is from RNAcentral. Lineage: Eukaryota; Viridiplantae; Streptophyta; Magnoliopsida; Vitales; Vitaceae.